This 373-nucleotide ribosomal RNA is filed under the name uncultured bacterium. RNAcentral describes it as "bacterial SSU rRNA". It matches the Rfam family "Bacterial small subunit ribosomal RNA", at positions 527 to 898 of the family's 1533-position model. The record is from RNAcentral.
GGAGGUGGCAAGCGUUGCUCGGAAUCACUGGGCGUAAAGGGCGCGUAGGCGGGGAGGUAAGUCGGGUGUGAAAUCCCUCGGCCCAACCGAGGAACUGCGCCCGAGACUGCUUCUCUUGAGUCCCGGAGAGGAAGGUGGAAUUCCCGGUGUAGCGGUGAAAUGUGUAGAGAUCGGGAGGAACACCGGUGGCGAAGGCGGCCUUCUGGACGGUGACUGACGCUGAGGCGCGAAAGCGUGGGGAGCAAACGGGAUUAGAUACCCCGGUAGUCCACGCUGUAAACGAUGGGUGCUAGGUGUGGGGGGUAUCGACCCCUCCCGUGCCGAAGCUAACGCAUUAAGCACCCCGCCUGGGGAGUACGGCCGCAAGGUUGAA